Molecule: microRNA precursor, 93 nt
Organism: Gallus gallus (chicken)
Lineage: Eukaryota; Metazoa; Chordata; Aves; Galliformes; Phasianidae
Source: Ensembl
GUGAGUUAUGCCAGUGCUGCCCCAGCUGGCUCCAUGCCCCUUGGGCUGGCAAGCUCCCACAGGACAGGUAGCCAGGCUGGGGCUGCUCUUCAC